AGUGAACGCUGGCGGCAGGCCUAACACAUGCAAGUCGAACGGCAGCACAAGAGAGCUUGCUCUCUGGGUGGCGAGUGGCGGACGGGUGAGGAAUGCAUCGGAAUCUGCCCAUUUGUGGGGGGUAACCUCGGGAAACCGGGACUAAUACCGCAUACGACCUACGGGUGAAAGCAGGGGAUCUUCGGACCUUGCGCAGAUGGAUGAGCCGAUGGCGGAUUAGCUAGUUGGAGGGGUAAAGGCCCACCAAGGCGACGAUCCGUAGCUGGUCUGAGAGGAUGAUCAGCCACACUGGGACUGAGACACGGCCCAGACUCCUACGGGAGGCAGCAGUGGGGAAUAUUGGACAAUGGGCGCAAGCCUGAUCCAGCCAUGCCGCGUGUGUGAAGAAGGCCUUCGGGUUGUAAAGCACUUUUGUUGGGAAAGAAAAGCAGCCGGUUAAUACCCGGUUGUCAUGACGGUACCCAAAGAAUAAGCACCGGCUAACUUCGUG
RNAcentral lists this ribosomal RNA (490 nucleotides) under uncultured bacterium. RNAcentral describes it as "partial 16S ribosomal RNA". It matches the Rfam family "Bacterial small subunit ribosomal RNA", at positions 29 to 507 of the family's 1533-position model. The record is from RNAcentral.